CCGGACCACCAUACCGGGGGGGAAACACCCGUUCCCAUUCCGAACACGGAAGUUAAGCCCCCCAGGGCCGAUGAUAGCGUGCACCGAGAGGGCACGCGAAAGUAGGUCGUGGUCCGGG
Molecule: ribosomal RNA, 118 nt
Filed under: Thermotogota bacterium
Lineage: Bacteria; Thermotogati; Thermotogota
Source: RNAcentral